This 83-nucleotide non-coding RNA is filed under the name Pseudomonas baetica. The record is from RNAcentral. Lineage: Bacteria; Pseudomonadati; Pseudomonadota; Gammaproteobacteria; Pseudomonadales; Pseudomonadaceae.
GUAGGAGCUGCCGCAGGCUGCGAUCCUUUGAUGUUGUUUUUCGAAAUCAACGUCAAAAGAUCGCAGCCUGCGGCAGCGCCUAC